This 228-nucleotide ribosomal RNA is filed under the name uncultured bacterium. RNAcentral describes it as "partial 16S ribosomal RNA". It matches the Rfam family "Bacterial small subunit ribosomal RNA", at positions 103 to 334 of the family's 1533-position model. The record is from RNAcentral.
CGGGUGAGUAAUGUCUGGGAAACUGCCCGAUGGAGGGGGAUGACUACUGGAAACGGUAGCUAAUACCGCAUAACGUCGCAAGACCAAAGAGGGGGACCUUAGGGCCUCUUGCCAUCGGAUGUGCCCAGAUGGGAUUAGCUAGUAGGUGGGGUAAUGGCUCACCUAGGCGACGAUCCCUAGCUGGUCUGAGAGGAUGACCAGCCACACUGGAACUGAGACACGGUCCAG